Molecule: long non-coding RNA, 1177 nt
Organism: Polyodon spathula (Mississippi paddlefish)
Lineage: Eukaryota; Metazoa; Chordata; Actinopteri; Acipenseriformes; Polyodontidae
Exons: 3
Source: RefSeq, a predicted model, not a curated record
UCAACACUGCCCAAGCUUCAUAAACAGUUUAAAUGAAGUUAAAAUCAAAGAAAAACAGGCAUUUCUUCAGGACUGUCCUUAAUUAUGAUUCAAAAUGAACCAGAGGAUAAAGCUUUGUGAAAUUGUAUAAGCUUGUUACUUCCCAUAGAUAUGCCAGUUUACCAGCAUACCAUCAUGGUGUACUACCUUGGCACAUUCAGGAAAGUGAAGACAGGAGACACAAAAAUGCCAUGCUUUUUCAAAAUGUCAGUGCUUGGAAAGACGCCAGAUAUCUGCAAGUGGAUGAUGCAAAGAUAGAACAAGCAAGUGCAUGCUUGAAUUUGACUCUACUUCACCCAUGGCCUGGGAUCUAACAUCGGCUGGAUUUUUGCUUGCUGAAGGUAAAAGCAUGGUGCCUGUGUGGGAUUUGGGUUCAUCGUCCUCAAAUAACUGGAUGAGCUGUUCUUCGGUCUUGAGCUCUUGUACAACAUCAAUCUAUAAAGACAAUGAUAAAAGGCUGACUCUAGCUUUAGAGCCAAACAAUUCUUUUUAUGGGGAUCUUUUAAUGCUCGAUAUGCUCGAUUUUUCAUGAAUUGAAUGAUCUUUAAGCCAGCUUCCCAGUUAGUGGUUUGGUUAUCGGUCAUUCAAGUAGACAACAAUGUCGCAAUUCACCCUCUCCACUGAUCCUAGUGAUUGGUCGUGUCUUGGUUCUCCAUGAACUAUUUUCAUUUCAUUUGACAUACUACAGAGGUCCUCGAUGACACGGUUAGCAAAUUCAUGGUCAUUGUCAAAUUGUAGGAUGUUGUGAAGACAUCUAACAAGUGAAACACCACUUCGUCAGCUUGUUUUGUUUUAAGAGCUCUCAAGAUCACAUCAAAUGAUCCUGAUAAACUGGGAUUGCAUAUAAAUAAAGUCCACUUGAGCGCGCAAGUUAAGGUAGUUACUUAAAAUUGGCUUAGAAAACAGACCUUUUUUAAGAGCUUUUUCUUUGUUGGCAUGGCUUGCAAAAAUUUUAAUAAAUCAUAAUCACUUCUUUAGUGAUGUUACAGUAUUUGUUUUUAAUCUCCUGUACCAUUUGAUUUCUUCCACCAUGUCCAGUUGAAACAUGAGUACUAUGCAUGACAUCAAAAAUCUUGUCAGUGGUAACAUAAUACUGUAUGUUUGAGUUGUCAGUGCCCAAGAGCAGUGGCCAAUGACA